UACGUAGGGUGCAAGCGUUGUCCGGAAUCAUUGGGCGUAAAGAGCGUGUAGGCGGCUUGCUAAGUCUUGCGUGAAAUCUCGGGGCUCAACCCCGAGCGGUCGUGGGAAACUGGCAGGCUAGAGUGCGGGAGAGGAGAAUGGAAUUCCUGGUGUAGCGGUGAAAUGCGCAGAUAUCAGGAAGAACACCCGUGGCGAAGGCGGUUCUCUGGAACGCAACUGACGCUGAGACGCGAAAGCGUGGGGAGCAAACAGG
This 253-nucleotide ribosomal RNA is filed under the name uncultured bacterium. RNAcentral's name for it is "partial 16S ribosomal RNA". It matches the Rfam family "Bacterial small subunit ribosomal RNA", at positions 524 to 776 of the family's 1533-position model. The record is from RNAcentral.